GAUGAACGCUGGCUACAGGCUUAACACAUGCAAGUCGAGGGGAAACGACGGGGAAGCUUGCUUCCCCGGGCGUCGACCGGCGCACGGGUGAGUAACGCGUAUCCAACCUGCCUCUGACUGAGGGAUAACCCGUCGAAAGUCGGCCUAAUACCUCAUGGUAUCGUCUGCGGGCAUCCAACGCCGAUUAAAGAUUUCAUCGGUCAGGGAUGGGGAUGCGUCUGAUUAGCUUGUUGGCGGGGUAACGGCCCACCAAGGCUACGAUCAGUAGGGGUUCGGAGAGGAAGGUCCACCACAUUGGAACUGCGACACGGUCCAAACUCCGACGGGAGGCAGCAGUGAGGAAGAUUGGUGAAUGGGCGAGAGCCUGAACCAGCCAAGUAGCGUGCAGGAAGACGGCCCUAUGGGUUGUAAACUGCUUUUAUGCGGGGAUAAAGUGAGGGACGUGUCCCUCAUUGCAGGUACCGAAUGAAUAAGGACCGGCUAAUUCCGUG
This 491-nucleotide ribosomal RNA is filed under the name uncultured bacterium. Its description in RNAcentral is "partial 16S ribosomal RNA". It matches the Rfam family "Bacterial small subunit ribosomal RNA", at positions 28 to 507 of the family's 1533-position model. The record is from RNAcentral.